RNAcentral lists this long non-coding RNA (1422 nucleotides) under Lynx pardinus (Iberian lynx). Lineage: Eukaryota; Metazoa; Chordata; Mammalia; Carnivora; Felidae. The record is from RNAcentral.
AAGAAGAAAACAUUAACAAAGGUAUAUUAAUCAUUAUCUCAAGUCAAAUCAAGUAUCAACCUUUCCCUUUAAUAAAUAAGAUUUCAUGUCUUCAAAUAAACCCAAGAUCCUAAUUAUGAAAGAUAAUUUAAAAAAAUUUAAAUACAACCCCAAGUUGUAUAUGCUCUAUUUUUGUCCCAACUGUACUGCCAAAAAUGUCUGGCCAUGGUAUUUCAUUAAUACCAUGUGUCAUGAAAGCCUGGUUGCCAGAUUUUUCGUCUUUAUUUGUAACAGUGCUAAAUCAUUCAGUAAUUACAUAACCACCUUCAGUAGUUAUUUGCUAAGGGUAGUGGAGUAAGGUAUCCUAACCCUCUAUUAACCUAUACUUCAAAAACGGUACUUUUGUAAAUUUUUCUUUGUAAGAACAAAAGAAAAACACUCAAGGGGAUUGGGAAAUAAUCAUUUUAAUCUACAUAAGCAUAAUUCACACCCAAAAUGCUUAAACUGUGCCAAAGUUCUGGCCUUCAUAACAUUUCUUAAUUUUAGUUUUCUUGGUGAACUCUGCACUGCCUCAAAAAGUAAAUUAUCCUUUAAUGGGUUCAAUUGGCAUAAACAAUCUAAGUCUGUGAUACCUGUAUCUAAUGAAGUAUAAUAUAUAAUCAACAUCGUAUCACCUAGAAUUGUCAAGCUGUUUAUGAAAGCCUAAAAAAACUCCAAAAGAAUUAAGCUACUUUAGUUAACAUGUAAUAGGUAUUUCUCAUAAAGCAAAGCUUAAAUAUUUAAUUUUUUGAUACUCUAAUGUAUUUCCAUAAGCCUUUAAGUCUACAGUUUUAUAGAUACAGUUUUCCAUCAGAGGUGGAAAAUUAUAGAUAUAUUUCUCUUUACAUGUAACUAAUUAAAGAUUUUAAGAGGGUGUAGGCUACAAAUCAAGUACAAUUUAGUCAUAACACCAUACAAAGACCUUAUAAAAAAAUCAGAAAAGAGAUGGUUAACAUUAUUGCUUGGUCUUAACAGCAAAUUUUAACCAAAUUGAUACCUCUCUACUCUUAUUUAUAAUGUUUCUGAUACAUUUAUAUCAUAGCACUUGGCAAGUAAUAAAGGUACUGAUAUGAUGUUUUAAUUAGUUGCAAACAAAUUCCAAUUUGUGAAUCAAUGUAUAUAUGUCCUCUUUAACUAGUAAAACUACACUACCUCAGAAUUAAUCCUUCUAAAGCAAGUAACCUUCCCGAGAAGGCAAUGCAGAGCUUCAUGUCUUCCUUAAAGAUUUUCAAGUAUUAUAGGAACACAAACUCAUGGAAAAAACUAAUUAAAAAUCGGAUAUUCCAUCUUGGCUUUACUAAUUAUGGGAUAAUAGGAACAGAUGUGAACCAAACAAAUGUUCCUUUAUACCUGUCUGCUAAACAUAAUAUCAUACCAAGAAAUACUGAAACUGCUGUUUUCUAG